Monodelphis domestica (gray short-tailed opossum) is the source of this 576-nucleotide long non-coding RNA. The record is from Ensembl. NCBI's taxonomy places the organism in Eukaryota, Metazoa, Chordata, Mammalia, Didelphimorphia, Didelphidae.
ACAAAGUGAAGAGGAUGAAUGAAGGCACAGGAAUAGGAUGGAUUAGCCAAAGAAUAGCUGCUUGAAAAUUUCACAACAAAGAAUGAAAUUUCCCUAAGACAGAGCUGAAAAUGCAGUAGUUGAACUAUUUGGCACUUGUUAGUCAAAUAGUGGAAUGCGAUGUGUGAUUCUGGAAUUUAUGAAGAUUUAUUGGAUAAUAUCUUAUACAUGAAUUCAGAAAGAAAUAUUGCUUUCUCCUUGGAGUUGAUUAAUUCUUUCAAGAACUGGGCCACUAGAAGAGUUUAAGGUAGAGAACUGCGGGAGCCUAGAAGCUGAAGCAGAGAGCGAGUAGGGGUACAGUCAGUUUAAAUACCCAUUUUGUUCUCGGCCCAGGAAAGUGAAAACAUCCUUUGUAACUUACUUUUCCUGAUGGGAGUGAAGAAUGUGACAAUGUUAAUUCCCUCCUAUAUUCAUGGAUAUGCGGACAAAGAAUUACUAGUACACUUUAAGCUCCAGUCAAAUACCAAUGGAUGGGGGUUGAAAGUAGUGGCUAGCAGUGCCAAGGUAAGUAGGCAUAUCAUCUCUGUAAAUCUCUAG